RNAcentral lists this ribosomal RNA (176 nucleotides) under uncultured bacterium. RNAcentral describes it as "partial 16S ribosomal RNA". It matches the Rfam family "Bacterial small subunit ribosomal RNA", at positions 335 to 526 of the family's 1533-position model. The record is from RNAcentral.
ACUCCUACGGGAGGCAGCAGUGGGGAAUUUUCCGCAAUGGGCGAAAGCCUGACGGAGCAAUACCGCGUGAGGGAUGAAAGCCUGUGGGUUGUAAACCUCUUUUCUCAAGGAAGAAAUUUUGACGGUACUUGAGGAAUAAGCAUCGGCUAACUCUGUGCCAGCAGCCGCGGUAAUAC